RNAcentral lists this long non-coding RNA (652 nucleotides) under Homo sapiens (human). RNAcentral's name for it is "HSALNT0096548". The record is from RNAcentral. Lineage: Eukaryota; Metazoa; Chordata; Mammalia; Primates; Hominidae.
GGUAACUAAUUAGGUCUAAAUAUUUAUGCUCAGGUUCCAUUGGUUGUGGGUUCCCUGUUACCUUUUGGUUUGGAUUCCUGGUUAGAAAAGCAGCUGGAUUUAGAGAAUUGUCAGUGGUUAGUGUCAGGUCAUCUCUCUCUAGCAGGAUAGCUUCAUAUUUUAAAAUUCUUGAGUCAGCGAGCCACCUUUCUGCCUUUUGGUUGAGGAUAGUUCUGACUUCGUGAGGUGUGCUAACAAUGAGUUUUCCCCCAGAGGUUAAUUUUCUGCUUUCCUCCCUGAGCAAGGCUGUUGCUGCCAGUGGCCCCCAUGCUCUUGGGUGAGUACCCCUAAAGCCACUCCUUUGCUUAAUACUGACAAAAAGAUGGAAUGGCUGUUCUAGGGAGGGUAAAGCUAGAACAGGGUCAGUCACUAGUAAAUGUUUUAACUUUUCUACUUGUUUGAUUUCUGCUAGAGUUCAGAGAAGGGGGUCUGGCUCUUCUUGGGUGAGUCUUUCAUACAAAGGUUUUGUUUCUAAGGCAUAAGAGUCAAUUCAUUGGCAACAGUAUCCAACCAAUCUCAAAAAUUUUCUGAGCUCUUGUUUUGUUUCUGACACAGGUAGGGAUAUGAUACCUUCAAUCCAUUCAAAGCCAAUUCUCUGCCUUUUGCUUUUGCC